AGCGCGAAAUGGAGCUAAAGCAUUGCCAAAACUGCAGUCUGGGCACUGCGUACCGAUACUGUUAAGGAUUUUAUAGGUUGGCGGAUUUCGUAAUGUUGAAUGGAGUCUUGAAGAGUUGAUUGCGGAAGAUUGAAGAAAAGAUCUAAAUUGAAGAAUAAAGACUCACUCGUAAAGUUCGGCACCUAAGGUAUGAAGAAAAGAUCAUUUGUGGUGAAGAUACUUAAUUAGAAUAAGUUCAGAAGGCUUAGAUUGCUUUAAAAAUAUUUUACUGAACUUUUCUGUGUUCAGGGA
RNAcentral lists this long non-coding RNA (291 nucleotides) under Ananas comosus (pineapple). RNAcentral's name for it is "long non-coding RNA (ACOM_LNC024217)". Lineage: Eukaryota; Viridiplantae; Streptophyta; Magnoliopsida; Poales; Bromeliaceae. The record is from RNAcentral.